UAGGGAAUCUUCCACAAUGGACGCAAGUCUGAUGGAGCAACGCCGCGUGAGUGAAGAAGGUUUUCGGACCGUAAAGCUCUGUUGUUGGUGAAGAAGGAUAGAGGUAGUAACUGGCCUUUAUUUGACGGUAAUCAACCAGAAAGUCACGGCUAACUACGUGCCAGCAGCCGCGGUAAUACGUAGGUGGCAAGCGUUGUCCGGAUUUAUUGGGCGUAAAGCGAGCGCAGGCGGAAGAAUAAGUCUGAUGUGAAAGCCCUCGGCUUAACCGAGGAAUUGCAUCGGAAACUGUUUUCUUGAGUGCAGAAGAGGAGAGUAGAACUCCAUGUGUAGCGGUGGAAUGCGUAGAUAUAUGGAAGAAUACCAGUGGCGAAGGCGGCUCUCUGGUCUGCAACUGACGCUGAGGCUCGAAAGCAUGGGUAGCGAACAGGAUUAGAUACCCUGGUAGUCCAUGCCGUAAACGAUGAGUGCUAAGUGUUGGGAGGCUUCCGCCUCCCAGUGCUGCAGCUAACGCAUUAAGCACUCCGCCUGGGGGAGUACGACCGCAAGGUUGAAAC
This 554-nucleotide ribosomal RNA is filed under the name uncultured bacterium. Its description in RNAcentral is "partial 16S ribosomal RNA". It matches the Rfam family "Bacterial small subunit ribosomal RNA", at positions 355 to 900 of the family's 1533-position model. The record is from RNAcentral.